Molecule: ribosomal RNA, 465 nt
Filed under: uncultured bacterium
Lineage: Bacteria
Description: partial 16S ribosomal RNA
Rfam family: Bacterial small subunit ribosomal RNA
Source: RNAcentral
GACGAACGCUGGCGGCGUGCUUAACACAUGCAAGUCGUACGGUAAGGCCCUUUCGGGGGUACACGAUUGGCGAACGGGUGAGUAACACGUGCGUAACCUGCCCACCACUUUGGGAUAACGCUCUGAAACUGGUGCUAAUACUGGAUAUGUGCUCCUGCCGCAUGGUGGGGGUUGGAAAGCUCCGGCGGUUGUGGAUGGACUCGCGGCCUAUCAGCUUGUUGGUGGGGUAGUGGCCUACCAAGGCGGCGACGGGUAGCCGGCCUGAGAGGGUGACCGGCCACAAUGGGACUGAGAUACGGCCCAGACUCCUACGGGAGGCAGCGGUGGGGAAUAUUGCACAAUGGGGGCAAGCCUGAUGCAGCAACGCCGCGUGCGGGAUGACGGGCUUCGGGUUGUAAACCGCUUUCAGCAGGGACGAAGCUUUGUGUGACGGUACCUGCAGAAGAAGCACCGGCUAACUACGUG